This 293-nucleotide long non-coding RNA is filed under the name Mytilus galloprovincialis (Mediterranean mussel). The record is from RNAcentral. Lineage: Eukaryota; Metazoa; Mollusca; Bivalvia; Mytilida; Mytilidae.
AGUUAGGGAUAGAAUAUGGGGAUUAGAGCAGAUUCUGAGAUCAUACUCUUGAAUCCCUCUACCGUACUGCAUGAUACUAUUUGUUGUGGCAGAUGAUUCCAAUUUAUAACUGUUCGUGGAUAAAAUGAAUAUUUAUAACUGUCUUUAGAUGUUUGUAUUUGCCUAAAUGAGUGUGGAUUGCUAUGUCUGGUUCUAUUGUCAAGUGGGAUCAAAAGAUUAUGUGUAGGAACUGCAACAAUUUCAUGAAUAAUUUUGUAAAAGAAAACAAGUCUGUAUCGUAAACGCCUAAUUUC